CACUAAGUUUUCUAGGGUUCCGUAAUAUCGCUGUAUUAGUCUGGUCCAAGAGAAAACUCAUAGAUAAUUUAUCUAUGUCACGGAAGGACAAAAGCCUGGGAGAU
Molecule: small RNA, 104 nt
Filed under: Vagococcus teuberi
Lineage: Bacteria; Bacillati; Bacillota; Bacilli; Lactobacillales; Enterococcaceae
Description: Guanidine-I sequence
Rfam family: Guanidine-I riboswitch aptamer
About the family: This family represents a conserved RNA structure found upstream of the ykkC and yxkD genes in Bacillus subtilis and related genes in other bacteria. The function of this family is unclear although it has been suggested that it may function to switch on efflux pumps and detoxification systems in response to harmful environmental molecules. Nelson showed that this riboswitch senses and responds to guanidine and it was renamed Guanidine-I riboswitch.
Source: Rfam by way of RNAcentral